CUAUGACAGCCCUGCAGAGCCUAGGUAUCCACCACUACGUAGCCCACAGUCUGCUCUGCCCCAGCCACAGCAUCCUCGGCUUGCUCAGCCAUUCUUUGUCUGGGUAGUUUGAAGUCCAGUCCCCACUCUCAUUACUUACCAUCCUCUGAAUGCAGCCAGUCUGUCUGGGUCUCCCUGAGACUGGCAUGCCCAGACUCCUGUGGGUAUAGUCUGGCCAAGGCAGAGUUAGCACAGGACUGUCACCUCCCUCCUUCUACAUACUCUGGUUCUACUAAUGCAGCCUAAUGUUACAUUUGUUCUUUUGGUGAUCGCAUCUCACUGCUGACCCAUCCUGAGCAGAUGGACAUCCAAAAUGCCUAAAUCUUUUUUCUGUGUGCUCUUGCUAUUAAGUUCUGUCUCUCCUGCCCCAUUCUAUGCUGUUGCAGUUGGUGUUUUUAACCCAGGUGCAGAAUCUUACUUUAUUUAUACCUGCGGAAUUUUGCUCGAGAGGGUGGGGCAUGCAUGCGAGUGUAUGUUGGUGUGUUCGUUCAUGCUUUCUGCUGCACCAAAGCCAAGUCCUAGGUCCCCACGCAGCGAUCCUAAGGCUAAUUAUUUAUUGGUAGCUGUAAUCUAAUUUGUCUUUUUCAUCUUCUGUUUAGCAAGAGGAACAGAGAUCAGGUCUUAUGGCAAUGACCCCUGAACGGCAGAAUGCAUAUAUCUCCCAACAGAUGAGUCCAUUUCAAGCCGUCCAAGAACAAGUCACCUCCAAGUGUAGCCGGAUCAAGGCAAGCCCCCCAUCUAGCAAGCACUUGAUGCCACCCAGAACUGGGCUCCUUCAGAACAAUCUGAGUCCAGGAAUGAUCCCACUCACCAGGCACCAGAGCUGCGAGGGCAUGGGAGUGAUCUCACCAACUCUGGGGAAGCGCCAAGGAAUUUUCACCUCCAGCCCCCAGUUUCCCAUCCUCUCACACUCAGGCCAGACUCCCCUGGGCAGUCUUGGCUCUGUCUGCCAGCAUACGCAGAGUCCCAAGGCCACCCCACCAGAAGUGCCCCUGCCUGGGUUCUGUCCCAGCUCCCUGGGCACCCAGUCCUUGAGUCCCCACCAGCUCAGACAGCCUAGUGUGCCAAGAAUGCCCACUGCGUUCAACAAUGCUGCAUGGGCCACAGCGGCAGCAGCUGUGACCACAGCAGUUUCGGGGAAAACACCCCUCAGCCAAGUGGAUAAUAGCGUUCAGCAGCAUUUGAAGGUGAGUGCUGCUCUGGCCAACAACCCCAGCUUCAGCCUGCUGCGCAGCCAGAGCCUCAGGCAGAGCCCAGUGCGGGGCCCGGUGCCUGCAGCAAACACCACCAAGUUCCUCCAGCAGGGUAUGGCCAGCUUUAGUCCCCUGAGCCCCAUACAGGGCAUCGAGCCACCAAGCUAUGUGGCUGCUGCUGCCACCGCUGCUGCUGCUUCUGCCGUUGCUGCCAGCCAGUUCCCAGGUCCGUUCAACAGAAUGGGUAUUCGCCCUGAGCUGCCACCUGCCGACUUUUUGCGCCAGCCCCAACCCCCACUAAAUGAUCUGAUUUCGUCACCUGACUGCAAUGAGGUAGAUUUCAUUGAAGCUCUCUUGAAAGGCUCCUGUGUGAGCCCAGAUGAAGACUGGGUGUGCAACUUGAGGCUGAUCGAUGACAUUUUGGAACAGCACACUGCUGCUCAAAAUGCCACAGCCCAGAAUUCUGGACAAGUCACCCAGGAUGCUGGGGCACUUUAAAUCUGAGCAGGAUGCCCAUAGAAACCCCCAUGGUGACAUCACUCUAGGAAGUGGUGUCAAUCCAUACCCGCAGUUGUCUCCCAUUACAAUUUGAGUGGUGUUGUCAGCCCAUGCUUAUCCCUCUCUCUACCUGUGACAAAAUGGAAAGCUGGUGAUUUUUCAAGCUACGUGUACAUAUUUGAAAAUUUUGUAAAUGGUUUUCCUAAACAUUAAUGACAGAAGUAUUUAUACUUCAUUUUGUGACUUUGUAAAUAAAGCGACGGCUUUUGUUUCAGUAGAGUUGUGUUUACUAUGCAUUGUUUUGUGUUUAUUAUACAAUGUUACAAAUAUGCAGACUGUGUUGUUUGCUCCAGUGAUACCUUGUUAAGCUAGGUGGCUGAGUCGCUUAUGGUUUUAAUGCAAUGAGCAAUGUGGAUGUGACCAAGAGUUGUUGUGCAAGUUGACAAAUGCCAAAUAGAAAACCACUUGGCCAUUUAUUUCUAUGUUCACUAAAAAUCCUAUUGCCUUGUGUGAUUCUUAAUCUCUUUUGCAAACCUUUCAGUCUCCGCUAGCUCUUUCCUAAUGAGCAUUUACAGCAGAAGCCGUUUUAUCGUUAAGUGCCCCACAGGGACACUUUACCAGGAGGCUGAGAGAGUUCUCCAGAUCUGGGAGAGGCGCAGAGAGAGUGUGUGAGCCGAGCCCUGUCUCAGCAAUCCACCUUGAGGAACUAGAGUAUCCUCCUCCCUUUACCAUUCAGACCGAGAGAAAAAGCCCAGCUUGUGUGCACCCUCGUGGGGUGAAGGCGAGCUGUUCCUGGUUUAAAGCCUUUCAGUAUUUGUUUUGAUGUAAGGCUCUGUGGUUUGGGGGGGAACAUCUGUAAACAUUAAUAGUUGAUUUGGGGUUUGUCUUUGAUGGUUUCUAUCUGCAAUUAUCGUCAUGUAUAUUUAAGUGUCUGUUAUAGAAAACCCACACCCACUGUCCUGUAAACUUUUCUCAGUGUCCAGACUUUGUGUAAUCACAUUUUAAUCGCCACCUCGUAUUUCGCCUCUACAUUUGAAAUCUGGCGUCUGUUUCGAGCCAGUGUGUUUUUUCUUCGUUCUGUAAUAAACAGCCAGGAG
This 2827-nucleotide small RNA is filed under the name Pongo abelii (Sumatran orangutan). Its description in RNAcentral is "retained intron". Lineage: Eukaryota; Metazoa; Chordata; Mammalia; Primates; Hominidae. The record is from RNAcentral.